This 77-nucleotide transfer RNA is filed under the name Tissierella simiarum. RNAcentral describes it as "Tissierella sp. MSJ-40 tRNA-Met". It matches the Rfam family "tRNA". Rfam says of the family: Transfer RNA (tRNA) molecules are approximately 80 nucleotides in length. Lineage: Bacteria; Bacillati; Bacillota; Tissierellia; Tissierellales; Tissierellaceae. The record is from RNAcentral.
CGCGGGAUGGAGCAGUUUGGUAGCUCGUCGGGCUCAUAACCCGGAGGUCGUCGGUUCAAAUCCGGCUCCCGCAACCA